This 1663-nucleotide long non-coding RNA is filed under the name Marmota monax (woodchuck). Lineage: Eukaryota; Metazoa; Chordata; Mammalia; Rodentia; Sciuridae. The record is from RNAcentral.
GAAAAGAUUAAAAUAAGCACAAAAAGAAAAGAGGUUGCAGAUAAGACAAACUAUGUGUUUGAAAAAGUUUUACAUGAUAAAGUAUGCUGUAGAAUAUGAAGUUAAGAGGAAGGGAUAAAGUAGGAAGUAUGAGGAGUCAAACAUGAGGCAUAAAACAUAAAUGGAUAGAUAUUUAUCUAUCUGAUAAAUUAAAAUUACUGAUUUUAGUCAGAAAGCAACCACUAAAAAUAAAUAAAAAAGAAGUAUAUCUAUGAAAACAGAAAAGGUAAUUUAAUGGAGCACUAAAAUAAUUGUUUGAAGAUCAUAAUGAGAUGAAGUUAGAAAUCAACAGCAAGAAAAAUAACAGAAACCACCACAUAAACACAUGCAGAUUGAAAAAUACUCUCUCAAAGGAAGAAUGGAUCAAAGAAUAAAUGAGAAUAAAAAUCAAGAAAUUCUUAGGAAGGAAUGAGAACAGAUACAACAUCAAAACCUGAGGGAGAGUAUGAAAUGGUUCUAAGAGGAAAAUUUAUAGCACUAAGUACCUACAUAAAAAAUAGAGAAAUUUCAAAUAAAUAAACUUGUGUUAUACCUCAAGACCUUAAAAAAGAGCAACCUAAUGCCAAAACCAGUAGAAGCUAAGGAGUAAAUAAGAUCAGAGCUGAAAUCAAUUAAAUUGAGAAUAGGAAAACAAUAUAUAGGAUCAGAGCAACAAAGAGUUGAUUCUUUGAAAAAAAUGAAUAAGAUUGACAAAACUUUAGCCAAACUAACCAGAAGAAAGUGUGAGAAACAAAUCAACAAGAUCACAAAGAAAGAGGAGAUCUUACACAGACUCUUUUGAAAUCCAAAGGAUUAUCAGAACCUAUUUUGAAAAUUUAACUUCAAUAAACUGAAAAAUCUGGAAGACAUUCACAAGUUUGUAGAUACAUAUGACCUGCCUAAAUUGAAUCAGGUAGAUAAAGAACACCUAACCAGACCAAUAUCAAGUAAUGAAAUUAAAAUAGCAAUUAAAAUCCUUCCCCCAAAAAGCCCAGGACCUGAUGCUUUCUCAGCUGAGUUCUACCAGACCUUUACAGAAGAACUAACACCAAUCUUUCUCAAAUUACUCAUGAAAUUGAAAGAGAGACAACACUCACAAAUAUAUUCUAUGAAGCCAGUGUAACCCUGAUACCAAAACCAGACAAAGGCACAUCAAGGACAGAAAACUACAGACCAAUAUCUCUUAUGAACAUGAAUGCAAAAAUAUUUAAUAAAAUAUUAUUAAAUUGUAUUCAAAAACAUAUCAAAAGAUUAUACACCAUGAUAAAGUGAGUUUCAUUAAAGGGAUGUAAAGUUGGUUCAACAUACACACAUCAGUAAGUAUACUUCAUCACUUAAACAGAAUUAAGGAAAAAAAAUCACACAAUUAUCUCAACAGAUGCAGAAAAGGACUUUUAUAAAAUCUAAUUCCCAUGUUAAAAAUUCUGGAGAAGGUAGGGAUUGAAGGAAUUUACCUUAACAUUGUUAAGAUCAUUUCUGAAAAACUUGAAGCCAACAUCAUACUAAAUGGAGAAAGACUAUUUUAGAGGCAUUUCCUCUAAAAUCAGGAAAGAGACAAGGCUGUUCACUCUUGCACUCCAAUCCAAUGUAGUCCUUGAAACACCAGCCAGAGUGAUUAAGCAAGAAAAGGGAAUCAAAGGGAUAC